UUAAAGAGAUAGGGUCUUCACGGCCCGACCUCCAACCCUCUGUUGUUAAAACUACCUUGUUGCUUUGGCGGGACCGUCUCGGUCUCCGAGCGCACUAACCCUCGGGUUGGUGAGCGCCCGCCAGAGUCCAACCAAACUCUUGUAUUAAACCAGUCGUCUGAGUAUAAAAUUUUAAUUAAAUUAAAACUUUCAACAACGGAUCUCUUGGUUCUCGCAUCGAUGAAGAACGCAGCGAAAUGCGAUAAGUAAUGUGAAUUGCAGAAUUCAGUGAAUCAUCGAAUCUUUGAACGCACAUUGCGCCCCUUGGUAUUCCGAGGGGCAUGCCUGUUCGAGCGUCAUUACACCACUCAAGCAUCGCUUGGUAUUGGGAACGGUCCGUCGAAAGGCGGGCCUUCCUCGAAGACCUCGGCGGGGUUCAACCAACUUCGGGCGUAGUAGAGUUAAAUCGAACGUCUUACAAGCUUGGUCGGAUCUCAUUGCCGUUAAACCUUUAAAUUUUCUAGGUUGACCUCGGAUCAGGUAGGGAUACCCGCUGAACUUAAGCAUA
This 547-nucleotide ribosomal RNA is filed under the name Sydowia polyspora. RNAcentral's name for it is "eukaryotic LSU rRNA". The stretch from base 185 to 338 matches the Rfam family "5.8S ribosomal RNA". Lineage: Eukaryota; Fungi; Ascomycota; Dothideomycetes; Dothideales; Dothioraceae. The record is from RNAcentral.